RNAcentral lists this transfer RNA (74 nucleotides) under Blattabacterium punctulatus. Its description in RNAcentral is "tRNA-Asn". It matches the Rfam family "tRNA". Rfam says of the family: Transfer RNA (tRNA) molecules are approximately 80 nucleotides in length. Their secondary structure includes four short double-helical elements and three loops (D, anti-codon, and T loops). Lineage: Bacteria; Pseudomonadati; Bacteroidota; Flavobacteriia; Flavobacteriales; Blattabacteriaceae. The record is from RNAcentral.
UCCUCAGUAGCUCAGCUGGUAAGAGCACCUGACUGUUAAUCAGGGUGUCGCUGGUUCGAAUCCAGCCUGGGGAG